GCCAGGUGUGGUGGCGUGCGCCUGUAAUCCCAGCUACUUGGGAGGCUGAGGCAGGAUAAUUGCUUUAACCCGGGAGGCAGAGGGUGCAGUGAGCUGAGAUCACACCAUUGCACUCUAGCCUGGGCGACACAGCGAGACUCUGUCUCAA
Unclassified non-coding RNA from Pongo abelii (Sumatran orangutan), 148 nucleotides. It matches the Rfam family "Metazoan signal recognition particle RNA". From Rfam's summary of the family: The signal recognition particle (SRP) is a universally conserved ribonucleoprotein. It is involved in the co-translational targeting of proteins to membranes. Lineage: Eukaryota; Metazoa; Chordata; Mammalia; Primates; Hominidae. The record is from Ensembl.